Non-coding RNA from Podarcis lilfordi (Lilford's wall lizard), 75 nucleotides. NCBI's taxonomy places the organism in Eukaryota, Metazoa, Chordata, Lepidosauria, Squamata, Lacertidae. The record is from the annotation of a GenBank genome assembly.
UGCUGUGAUAGCUCAGAUGGUAGAGCAUGAGACUCUUAAUCUCAGGGUCCUGGGUUCAAACCCCAUGUUUGGCAA